Molecule: unclassified non-coding RNA, 209 nt
Filed under: Hevea brasiliensis (rubber tree)
Lineage: Eukaryota; Viridiplantae; Streptophyta; Magnoliopsida; Malpighiales; Euphorbiaceae
Source: RNAcentral
AGUAGAUCAAAUAUAUAGGGUUGAAUAGUUAAAUCAUCAUGAAGCCCUUCAACUCUUUUGCUUGAAAGCCUUUAAGAAAGAUUGUCCACCACAAGAUUACAUGGAGCUAUCCAACAAAGCUGUAAACUAUGCAGGUGGCCUCCCAUUAGCGCUUAAUGUAUUGGGUUCCUCCUUGUUUGCUAGAUCUGUGAAAGAAUGGAACAGUGCAU